Molecule: long non-coding RNA, 414 nt
Organism: Lycium ferocissimum
Lineage: Eukaryota; Viridiplantae; Streptophyta; Magnoliopsida; Solanales; Solanaceae
Exons: 2
Source: RefSeq, a predicted model, not a curated record
GCAACCUACCAAACGACCACUAAGCACUUAAAAGAAAGUAGAGAAGUUACUGUCAUCUUCUCCCAUCUCAAUCCCUACUUUCAACUUUUGUUGUCAAGGAAUAACUAAGGUAAAUUUUAUAUUCUUUUAUCUAUUGCUUGCUUUUCCCCUUAUGUUUUGAACAAAGUUUCUUUUUGGUUUGGUGAGAUGCGUACAAUUGUACUCGAUUUGCUUGCGGAUCUAUCGGAAAAUCAAAUUAGCAAUCGAUUUGCUUGCGAAUCUACCCGAAAAUCAAAGUUGAGCUUGGCGAGGAGUGAUGAAAGCAUCAAAAUCGACGAGACAUGAAUUAUUAUUUUUCUCUUGUAAAAGUAUAUUAAUAUAUUUGAAUAGAAUGAUGUUUCACUAUUUUGAAUGAUAUCGUUGAACCUUUAUUAA